Molecule: unclassified non-coding RNA, 205 nt
Filed under: Hevea brasiliensis (rubber tree)
Lineage: Eukaryota; Viridiplantae; Streptophyta; Magnoliopsida; Malpighiales; Euphorbiaceae
Source: RNAcentral
AAUUGCAAUAGCUGUGAUUUGGAGUCCAGACAUCUGAAGUACACUUCUUUCUUUCAUAAUAUGAAUGCUAGUGCCCUCCGAAAAAUGAAGGUCAUGCGUUCUGNNNNNUUAAAUCUAGUAGAGAUGAAUCAUCAAUUGGCUUGUGAUCCUGAGGUUGGUGGUUGUGGGAAGCUUAACUGUAUCCAUCAUAUUCUGUCAACUGCAC